GUCAAAAAAAUAAAGGCUUACGGUGGAUACCUAGGCAUCCAGAGACGAAGAAGGGCGUGGAAACCGACGAAACGCUUCAAGGAGCUGGAAACAAGCAUUGAUUUGAAGAUUCCCGAAUAGGGCAACCUUAUAAACUUCCUUUUUAAUUCAUAGAUAGGAAAGAGAUAACCCGGUGAAUUGAAACAUCUUAGUAGCCGGAGGAAAAGAAAGCAAACGCGAUUCCCUUAGUAGCGGCGAGCGGACUGGGAAUAGCCUAAACCUUUUUAUUUUUUUAUUAAAAUUAAUAGGGGUAGUGGGAGAAUAAAUAAAUUAUGUUUUAAAAAUCUAGUUUAUAUUUGAUACGAAGCAGCUGAAUCCUGCACCAUAGAUGGUGAAAGUCCAGUAGUAAAAAAAAAUAAAAUAAACUAUAAUUAAUCUUACUUUACUUGCUUCUUGUUAAGCAACAAGAAGACUUGCUCCUUGCUUCGCAAGCAAAGCAACAAGAAGACUUGCUUCUUGCUUCGCAAGCAAAGCAACAAGAAGACUUGUUUUCUAAGCAUAAGAUUUAUAAAGCUAAGCUUUAUAAAUUUAACUUUUUUAAAAUUAAGCUUUUUUUCUAAGUAAGUAAGUAAAAACUUAUAUUUAAUAUUUUAUCCCGAGUAGCAUGGGACACGUGAAAUCCCGUGUGAAUCAACGAGGACCACCUCGUAAGGCUAAAUACUCCUGGGUGACCAAUAGUGAAGUAGUACCGCGAGGGAAAGGUGAAAAGAACCCCUGUCGGGGAGUGAAAUAGAAUAUGAAACCGUAAGCUGUCAAGCAGUGGGAGGGCUACAUAAGAGCCUGACCGCAUGCCUGUUGAAGAAUGAGCCGGCGACUUAUAGAAAGUGGCUAGGUUAAUUCCUAUAGAAGGAGCCAAAGCGAAAGCGAGUCUGAAUAGGGCUUAUGUCACUUUUUAUGGACCCGAACCCGGGUGAUCUAACCAUGGCCAGGAUGAAGCUUGGGUAAAGCCAAGUGGAAGUCCGAACCGACCGAUGUUGAAAAAUCGGCGGAUGAGUUGUGGUUAGGGGUGAAAUGCCAAUCGAACUCGGAGCUAGCUGGUUCUCCCCGAAAUGCGUUGAGGCGCAGCGAUUGACGAAAAUUAAAAGGGCUGCCUAGGGGUAAAGCACUGUUUCGGUGCGGGCUGCGAGAGCGGUACCAAAUCGUAGCAAACUAAGAAUACUAGGUAUAGCUUUCCGUCAAUCAGUGAGACGGUGGGGGAUAAGCUUCAUCGUCAAGAGGGAAACAGCCCAGAUCAUCAGCUAAGGCCCCUAAAUGACCGCUAAGUGGUAAAGGAGGUGAGAAUGCAGAAACAACCAGGAGGUUUGCUUAGAAGCAGCCACCCUUAAAAGAGUGCGUAAUAGCUCACUGGUGGAGCGUUCUUGCGCCGAAAAUGAACGGGACUAAGCGGUCUGCCGAAGCUAUGAGAUUUCUUAUGUUUUUUUGCAAACAAUCGUUUUGCUUAACUUUGCUUAAAAGAAAUCGGUAGGGGAGCGUUCCGCUCUAGUGUGAAGCAUAAACGAAAGUCAAUGUGGACGAAGCGGAAGUGAGAAUGUCGGCUUGAGUAACGCAAACAUUGGUGAGAAUCCAAUGCCCUGAAAACCUAAGGUUUCCUUCACUAGGUUCGUCCAUGGAGGGUUAGUCAGGACCUAAGACCAGGCUGAAAAGCGUAGUCGAUGGAAAACAGGUUAAUAUUCCUGUACUAAAUUUUAUUUUGUACCGAAGGACGAAGAAGGCAAUAAUUGAUCGAAUUUGGAUUUCGAUGGAAGCAUUCAACGCUAUGAUAGAUAGAAGAAAAACUAUUCUUGAGCCAAGAUGUAAAACGGUUUUAUUUGUAACUUAGAAAACUUGUUUUCUAAGCUUAUGAGUAAUUCUCAAUGAAUUGUCAAACUUCCUAGAAAAGUUCGAACUACUUUAUAAUAAAAUUUACCUGUACCCGAAACCGACACAGGUAGGUAGGUAGAGAAUACCAAAGGGCGCGAGAAAACUCUCUCUAAGGAACUCGGCAAAAUGGCCCCGUAACUUCGGGAGAAGGGGUGGUUACCUAUAAACGGUAACCCGCAGUGACCAGGCCCAGGCGACUGUUUACCAAAAACACAGGUCUCCGCAAAGUCGCAAGACGAUAUAUGGGGGCUGACGCCUGCCCAGUGCCGGAAGGUGAAGGAAGUUGGUUAUUCGUUGCUCGCAAGGAAAAAGCUAACAACCGAAGCCCCGGUGAACGGCGGCCGUAACUAUAACGGUCCUAAGGUAGCGAAAUUCCUUGUCAGGUAAGUUCUGACCCGCACGAAAGGCGUAACGAUCUGGGCACUGUCUCGGAGAGAGACUCGGUGAAAUAGACAUGUCUGUGAAGAUGCGGACUACUUGCACCUGGACAGAAAGACCCUAUGAAGCUUGACUGUAGCCUGGAAUUGGAUUUGGGCUCUUCUUGCGCAGACUAGGUGGGAGGCGUUGAUAAUUUCUUUCUGGAGAGAUUGGAGCCAUCAGUGAGAGACCACUCUGGGAGAGCUAGAAUUCUAAUGGUGAUCCUUGAAUCAGGACACUUGACAGUUUCAGGUAGGCAGUUUGACUGGGGCGGUCGCCUCCUAAAAAGUAACGGAGGCGUGCAAAGGUUCCCUCAGGCUGGACGGAAAUCAGCCGUAGAGUGUAAAGGCAGAAGGGAGCUUGACUGCAAGACUUACAAGUCGAGCAGGGGCGAAAGCCGGCCUUAGUGAUCCGACGGUGCCGAGUGGAAGGGCCGUCGCUCAACGGAUAAAAGUUACUCUAGGGAUAACAGGCUGAUCUUUCCCAAGAGUUCAUAUCGACGGAAAGGUUUGGCACCUCGAUGUCGGCUCAUCGCAACCUGGAGCGGUAGUACGUUCCAAGGGUUGGGCUGUUCGCCCAUGAAAGCGGUACGUGAGCUGGGUUCAGAACGUCGUGAGACAGUUCGGUCCAUAUCCGGUGUAAGCGUUAGAGUAUUGAGAGGAUCCUUCCAUAGUACGAGAGGACCUGGAAGGACGCACCAAUAGUAUACCAGUUCUCGCGCCAGCGGGAUACGCUGGGUAGCCAAGUGCGGAGAGGAUAACUGCUGAAAGCAUCUAAGUAGGAAGCCCACCUCGAGAUGAGUACUCUUUUAAGGUCACGGCAAGACUAGCCGUUUGAUAGGUAUCAAGUGUACGAUCAGUAAUGAUUUUAGCUAAGAUAUACUAAUAGACCGUAAUUUUGAC
Molecule: ribosomal RNA, 3218 nt
Filed under: Autumnella corcontica
Lineage: Eukaryota; Viridiplantae; Chlorophyta; Trebouxiophyceae
Description: LSU rRNA
Rfam family: Bacterial large subunit ribosomal RNA
Source: RNAcentral